UAAGUCGUCGUCUACUGUUCGGGUCGCUCAGAGUGGAUCAUUCGAUUGAGCUGUAAGGUUCAGCGACUCGCUAGGAUAACGAUGACCGAAGAAAGAACGCUUGGAUGAAAAGAGCAAGAUACGCCUUUGAUUCAAGUUUAAUCGACAUUGCUACUGUUUGGAUCGUUUGACUGCAAUAUGGGGCUCAGCGACGCCAUGACUGCAACCGAAGAACUGGGAUAUGUUUUGUUUUAGUUCGUAGAAAGAGAGAUAAAUAUUUUAAAUUACAAUGCUACUGUUCGUUGGUAGAUAUCAUUCGACUGAUCUACAAGGUUCAACAGCGUGCAACUUAUAGCGAGGCGUGCAACGGAAUACUUCGGAUUGAAAGAUCUAUGCUCACAAAGGUAAAGAGUAAAACUCGACACGUGACAAAGGAUUAUGCCUUGGUCUCCAAAGGCCUAGGUUUAGCAAAAGACAUUUCUGCUAUGGUCUCGCGUGUCAAACGGAUUUAAUGUUCGGUACCUGGUACAAAAUGUGUUUGAAAUCAGAGAUAGAUAGGGAGCUUACGGAAUGUUUACCCAAAAAAUUCUAUCAUAACCGCCCAUGCAGCCUGCCCGCUGCCGUGUUGCACCCGGGGUGCGGCUGCAUUUAACUUAAAUCAACUUACGAUGCCCAGCUCGUAAAGCAGAAAUUUGAAUGGAGCAUAAGGAGUGAUUGAUGUAGUCCGACUACAGCAUUCUGAGUAACUCUAUUAAGGCAGGAGAGUGACGUGUACGUUAAUGCAAUGCUCUCGCAUGCGCGAAAGGAUAUGUUGGAUAUGCCAUACGGUAAAGGUAGUCUGUUUUGGCGUAGAAUGUGAUCACCCUCGGGAAUAGGGAAUGUUAUUAUCAAAUCCUGGAUAUGACAGUGUUUCACUGGAUACACUAGAAGGAUGCCCAAAUUCAAUGACACCAGUAAUAAUCAGUUGUUAGGUUACUUCCGAGAGAGCCGGUUGUUGUUGGAUCCACUCUUCAUCGUGAUUGGUAUCGUUGGCUGCGUUUUAGCAGUUCUUUACCUUGAAAACAUAUACGCCCGUGUGGGAGUAGCAUUCUUGGCUGCCUGUUGGACAGCCGCCGGGUUCGGAAUGUGCUGCGUCCAUUGCUGCAAGUCACUUAGAGAAACAGAAUUAAGACAGAAAGAAGCAAAAGAAGAGAGCACUAAACUGAGUGAAGUUCGCUUAUCUAACGCAUCAAGUGGGGAAAAUGUGUAGUGGUAGACCAGUGGGAAGCAACCAAUCCAAUGUGGUAAAUAAUAGAUGACAUUAUAGCGAGUGAUGGAGUUAGUUAGCCAUAAACGUAGUAGGCCGUAAAAUUGAUGAUAUAUUUUAGCUUUGGUAGUUUAGGAGAACUCGAGUGACCCAAGGAUGCCUUUUAAUGAUACCACCAACAAUCCCCUCUUCGGCUUCUUGAGAAAGAAGCGGUUGGUUCUUGACCCAUUCUUCAUCAUCUUCGGUGUAGCGUUCUGUGUUCUUUCUGCUUUAUAUCUAGAAAAUAUGUAUGCCAAGGUUGGUGUCUCCUUACUUGCUGCUGGUUGGACUGUAGGGGCUCUCGUCAUGUGCUGUGUGGAUAGCCAAAAGCCGAAAAAAGAAGAUGAAGAAAAUAUUAUGGAAAAUGAGGUGUUGCCAGACUUCGAUAGUACCGCGUCAGCAUAGCUUACCACUGCUUGCAAAAGUGAGGGGCUUAUUUAAAAGCAUUUGAAAAUGUGUACAGUGUGAAGUGUAGGGUGCUCGAAGAGUGAUGUACAUGAUGUCUAGUUCUUCUAUUUGUGACAGCGUGACGAACUGUUAAGUAGGUCAAGGUCAACUGUGUCUUCAGUCUCGUCCUCGCGUACGUCCUCGAGGUAUUCUUCAAGGUCAUCUCUAAAAACGUCAUCAUCUAGAGCCUCGUCUCGGGCAUCUAGCAGAUCAUCCACCCCAAGAAGCACGCACAGACAGUUUGGGCCCUGUGAUCUCACCAUGUAUACUAUCAAAGAAAGUCCAAGUAUAAUGACGGAAAGCCCCUCCCGAAUAGCACGUCCAACCAAGAAGUACUCCACCGAGUCUGAGGAAUUGUCAUGUCCUGGUGAUAAGGAUGAUGAUGGCGCAAAAUCCGACGCUGAGAUCCUCAAAUAGACUAUGGAUUUUGUGUGUAACGCAUAUACUUGUAUAUCAUGUCUGACUCGGGGAUACUUUUGUACGCUGUGAAACCUGAUUUUCGUACGACAAGCAAAAUGCAUUGGAGAUUGAAGCAAAAACGCAUACAGUCGCAGUUCCCAUCCGGAAUAUCCGUGGUUUUGCGUCGUGUUAAGGAGCACGAGUAUUCGAACAGGAACUUUUGGCGAACAGUGUUUUGCAACCAGCCUAAGUGUCAUAUACAUGACGGACAUGCACUGACAUUACGCCCGUCAUGGACAACAUUCUAGUGCUCCGUGUAGAUAUUUUUCUCGUGUUUUAAUAUUCAUUUUAUACUCGUUGCCGCAAGCCUGAGAAUGUUCAUGUUCAUUUGAGGGCAGAUAUCUUAGUAACGAUUCUGUGUCCGAUACAAUUUGUACACUGUACUCUUUUAAUUGCCCUUGUAGUGUAUUGCCAAAUUGAUGGAACGUUCACCUUUGGCCAGACUCCAGUAUUGGCUUAUUUCUGUCGCUAUGGCACUGCAAAGAAAACUGACUAAAUCUUCUGACUUGAAUCUCUUUCAGUCGCUCGCAAAAACCUUUGGUUUCAUCGCACUGCCGUCUCGCAUCUGUUUAUUGAGCAAUGUUUGCCGUAGAUGCUUGAUUACUGAUGUGGGCCAUAACUUUUAUGGAUUAAUGGACGGGAGUCGUCGUUUUGGUCUCGCUCAUUUCCGAUAGCUUAUGCUGGGCGUAUAUGCUUCUACGACGGCCGCGGGGUUCCAUCGCUGUUCGUCGUAUCUCUAAUGGAAAGUGAUUACUUUCAUUUCCAAAACAACACUUCCGUGCAGCGAUUAAAACCUCACAUCUGAUUGUGGGCCCUACAUAUAUCUCUGAUAAGCGCGGGUUAUAAUGUGCCUGAAUUAUAAUUUGAUACUCGAAUACGUUGUCUUCCAAAUGUAAAAGGUGCAGUUGCAAAUUGUCAGCCACAACCAACAAAAACAGGAGUUCUAGCCCCUGAAUUGGCACCUCCUGCCAAUUGUCUACCAUCAAACAGUGAAUUCAGCAUUGUGGACUGAUAUGAUAGCAAUGCAGUCUUAACGUUUGGAUGGAGUGAUAAGUCUUCUUACAUCGCCUGGCCCUGUAAGCAUCUAUGCAUUGUUUCCUUUCAAAUGUUCAUGAGAAAUACCGUGUGGUUCUUUUAAGACCGAAAUGACAAACCAUGCACCCUGCUGGCGUGUCACAUAGAGAGAUGGUUGGCAGGACGUACUGUCCAUAUGAUACCUCACUGGAGGUAUUAGUUUAGUCAACAAACACCAGGAGGCUAAAGCUAAAAUAUAAGCCAAAACCGAGGCGUCUUGCCGGCGUUUUGGCGAAAUGGAAGCUCCAUAAUCAAUACCAAUGAUCAACAUCGCACGGAUGUUAGGAAAUGCGUUAUGCCUAACAUCUCUAUUGUAUAAUCCUUCACUUCCUCAGAUUGGUGUUUUCUCUUAUAUAUUUUUAUACAACUUUGCUGUGUUCUUUCCCUUUGUCAUGACUGAAAGAUAUACCGUAGGUCGAAGUAAGCUACGUUCAAAAGUCGCCAGACUCGCGAAGUUCCGACUGUGUAGUACCAUUGUAGCCGUACCUAGUCUCCCUGUCUUCACCCGUGUCACGCGUCAUUCACAUACAAAUGUACCAUUGAUAUAAGAUGUUCAAGUCCUUUUCAAGGAUUUUAUAUUUUUAGUUUUCGACUAUGCGAUCUCUGUCUUUAGUCGUCAGUACGCCGUAUGGAUGACCAAGAACCAAGCUUUUUGCCACUGUCUGUUACAGCACAGAUGAAUGACACUAGCAUAUAGGGCAAAUGGUGUCGCUGCAUCCGUGCAAGUGUCACACUGAGAAAAAGCUGUUAUCAGUAAGUUAGCUUAUGAUUCAGAAAAGGCAUCAUACGAAGGGUCAUGUUUAACAAGAUUUGGUCCAAGCGUAAAACAUCGGACUUUUGAACCCAACUGGCCAUUCUAAAGCAAAUUCCGAAAAUUUUGGUGUUUCUGAUUAAGGAUGCAUUUCCCUUUACCUUGAUUUGCUGGGUAUACAUAGAAUAUUAUAAUGAUUACUUGUGAGUCUGUGGAAAAGAAACCAAUUGGGUGAUUGAUAGAUGUAAAGAUAAAAAUCAAAAAAUCAAAUAGUGCUUUAUUAAUUCAAUGUUAUGUAUGUACAAACUCUUUACCACAAUGUACUAUAACAUGAGUAAACACUAAAAGGUAGCAGUUGUUUUGAAAUGAAUUGCUUACUUUUAAUUUGAGCACGUUACAUGUACAUUCUAUACUGAAUUUUAGUUCCAAUGAACAAUGCUCUACUCUAUUUAAGGGAUAAUUAUUUUAAUGAUUCUUUGGUGGAUUUCAUAAAAUUUGAAAUAUAAUUCAGCCAUUUGAGUUGUCAUAGUGCACCAUGAAUUCAUUUUCAUUCGUCUAUUUUGAACCCACUUAUUUUUCAUGGCGUUUCUUAUAGACGUUCACUAUUAUCAAGAUGUGCUUUACUACAUAACCGUUCUAUGUGUGUUGUACAAUUUAUCAUCCCGAUGAUAUUCUUGAAUUAUAUUCUUUAAAUCCUAAACAUAAUAAGAACAAAUAUAAAACUAUUGUAAAUAUAAUU
Molecule: long non-coding RNA, 4734 nt
Organism: Lineus longissimus
Lineage: Eukaryota; Metazoa; Nemertea; Pilidiophora; Heteronemertea; Lineidae
Exons: 10
Source: RefSeq, a predicted model, not a curated record